CUGGCAACACCAAAGUGCAAAGGGGGAAUGGGGUUCCGAGGACCCCAUCAGUUUAAUCUUGCGCUUCUUGGGAAGCACGGUUGGCGUCUUAUGACUAAGCCUAAUUCUCUUUGUGCAAGGGUACUGAAGGGCCGCUACCACCCUAAUACAGAUUUUAUGCAUGCUCCUGUUCCCAAAUUGGCGUCAGCAACUUGGCGAGCUAUCAUUGCUAGUAGGGGAGCAUUGCAAGCGGGUCUUAUUAAGAGAGUGGGAGACGGGAAUUCCAUUGAUGUGUGGACUGAUAAGUGGAUUCCUGGGAUCAUCUCUAUGACACCAUUGCUGAAGCCACCGAACACUAAUGUUCGGACAGUUUCCGAUCUCAUCGAUCCUGAGAACUGGUCGUGGAGGCAGGAGUUGAUUCGAACAACCUUCAUCACCCCUAAUCCUGACGCCAUCCUAAACAUCCCAAUCAGGAGGGAGGGGGGAAGUGAGGACUUUUAUGCUUGGGCCUUUGAAAGAUCAGGCAACUACACUAUCAAAUCGGCUACCGUGCUCUAG
Molecule: ribosomal RNA, 537 nt
Filed under: Triticum aestivum (bread wheat)
Lineage: Eukaryota; Viridiplantae; Streptophyta; Magnoliopsida; Poales; Poaceae
Description: partial small subunit ribosomal RNA
Source: RNAcentral